This 463-nucleotide ribosomal RNA is filed under the name uncultured bacterium. RNAcentral describes it as "partial 16S ribosomal RNA". It matches the Rfam family "Bacterial small subunit ribosomal RNA", at positions 28 to 507 of the family's 1533-position model. The record is from RNAcentral.
GAUGAACGCUGACAGAAUGCUUAACACAUGCAAGUCGAUGGGGAAGUGGUGCUUGCACCCUGGCAACCAUGGCGGACGGGUGAGUAACGCGUAAGGGACUUACCUGCAGGACUGGGAUAACAGGGGGAAACUCCUGACAAGACCGGAUAAUGUCAUGGAGCUGCAUGGCUUUAUGAUGAAAGGAGACGCCUGCGGAGAGCCUUGCGUCCUAUUAGCUAGUUGGUGAGGUAAUGGCUCACCAAGGCGAAGAUAGGUAGCCGGCCUGAGAGGGUGGACGGCCACAAGGGGACUGAGAGACGGCCCUUACUCCUACGGGAGGCAGCAGUGGGGAAUAUUGGACAAUGGGGGCAACCCUGAUCCAGCAAUUCUGUGUGCACGAAGAAGGUUUUCGGAUUGUAAAGUGCUUUCAGCAGGGAAGAAGUAAGUGACGGUACCUGCAGAAGAAGCGACGGCUAAAUACGUG